Molecule: long non-coding RNA, 303 nt
Organism: Limulus polyphemus (Atlantic horseshoe crab)
Lineage: Eukaryota; Metazoa; Arthropoda; Merostomata; Xiphosura; Limulidae
Exons: 3
Source: RefSeq, a predicted model, not a curated record
UAGAAGAUCGUGAUCUUCGGCAGAGGAAACAUAGUAAACGAAAACAAGAACCUAAACAUGAAGUUACGAAAAAGAUCCGUAGAAAAGUUGAUGUAGCGAAGACUUUCUUACCUUUUGAAAUGAAGACCUUACUUGUAGCAGUUUUAGCUCUCAUCUGUGGAGGCUUAAAUAGCUACCAUCAGUACACCAUGUUUGAAAAUGAUCGACAUUUUUCUCAUCUUUCCACUUUGGAGAGAGAAAUGACUUUUAGGACAGAAAUGGUAAAUAUUGUACUUAUAUCUAAGCUGGAAAAGAAUUCCUGAA